CGACUUGCAUGCAGUGCUUGCACGGCUUUCGGUAGUUUGCUAUUACUCUUUUUUAUUUAUCAAAGAUUAAUGGAUUCUUCUGAAGAAGAAGCCGAUUAUUAUAUUAUCAUCAAUAACAAUAAGGUACAACCUUACAUGUUUGAGCCUUUGGCCACGCGCAAGGUGGUCAUAAUGAUGACAAUUCUCCGUCAUCGGAAAGCGAAGAUAAACACAUUCACAGAAUUGGAAAUGUUGAAUGGUGUGAGUGUGGCUUUUGUGUGGUCAUGAGUACAGGACGGGAAAGUAUAUCUUGCCAAGAGGUAAACAAUACUGAUCCUCUGAUACAUGGCGAUCAUAUUUGCAUCACACAAGAGGAAGAGUUUGCCACA
Molecule: long non-coding RNA, 368 nt
Organism: Xenia sp. Carnegie-2017
Lineage: Eukaryota; Metazoa; Cnidaria; Anthozoa; Malacalcyonacea; Xeniidae
Exons: 2
Source: RefSeq, a predicted model, not a curated record